Long non-coding RNA from Apis cerana (Asiatic honeybee), 1334 nucleotides. RefSeq lists it as uncharacterized. The record is from RefSeq and is a predicted model, not a curated record. Lineage: Eukaryota; Metazoa; Arthropoda; Insecta; Hymenoptera; Apidae.
AGCACGCGUAGGAGAGUAGCAUUCGAAUCUCCCGACGAGUAUCUCUCGAGAGUAUCCUUCUCCGUUUCCGUGUUACGUGUCAUUAAAUCACGCGAUUGUGAAUCACGGGGGAAAGGGUGAUUCGAAACGAAGAGAAACGUUCCAUCCACGUUCGUUCGCCUCGAGGUUGAGGUGCGUAUGAAUCGACGUCUACAUCUCUCGUGAUCGGAACUUGGAUUGGCCCGCGGAUCUCGAAACGAGUCGGGGGAGGGCGUCGAGUAAUUAAAAUAGAGCCGAUCUGCCUCUGUCAAAAGUUAAACGCGAAAACGACGCGGUGGUGAGAAGAGAAACGGCGAAGAGGCGGACGAAAAAGAAAACGACGAGAGUGCGUCGCCUGGCGUAAAAGGCUUCGGUUUAGAGGUCUCUUUAAUUAGUGCGUCUGUCGUGAAGAUAACGAGAAAAACGAAAAAGAGGUAGAGAGGAGGGGGGAGAAGAGAGAGAGAAAAAAGAAAACAAGCAUCGUGACCGGAGAGCUAUGCGAAGACUCGUAAAUGGAUGGAGUGCGAACAAUGCCAGAUCGCACAGGCAUCGACCAUUCGUGAGACAGAAACAGCGACAGGGCUCAUCUAUUAUUGGCGCAAAACAGAAAUAAAAUGCAGUGCGACGGCCUGCGAAACGUAUGGUGCUCACAUUGUGCCAACAACUUUUGUCUCGCCUUUCGUUUUCAAUAUUUUUUCCCCCGCGCACCUUCCCUUCACGCCUCCCCGCACUUGACCUCUUCCCCACCCACCCAUCAUCCUAUUGACCAAUUGGAACGCGAUUUUAUCUAUUUUAUCGCGACAUAUAACACGGCAAAGCGAUUGUCCAGCGCGGCUCGUGUCAAGAGUGUCUCGUUGAACCGACGUCUUGUCGCUUGCUCGUCCUUUUGAUUUCGGUAUCAGCCAACGCUCGCGUUUACAAACAUCCGAAAAUGCAUCGAGGAUGAAUCACGGAGGAGACGAAGCAUCGAGCAUUUGUUUUUAAUUUCGUUCCAUUUUAACAAGGGCGCUUGAGCGCUUUCGAUUUUCAAGCGAUUUCCGUGUUGUGGAAGAAGUCGUAAAAAAAGCGAUGCAUAAUCCAUCCAGAGAUACGAUACGCUAAAAUCAUUUUAAUGAAAAAAAUGAUCAUGCCGUUUAAAUUAUGAUACAACAAUUUAAUUUAUAUCUCUGGACAAACUGUGCGCAAAGAUAGUUUUGAAAACUUACCACAGUGAUGGGGUAGACCGGGUUAAUGAUUGUGAACAGGAGAACGUGGUUUGGUUUAUUAUUGUCUUCUCUGGAAAAAAAAGGAACAAAAAUAUAAUAACGUGCGAUCUA